CAAUAGCGUAUAUUAAAGUUGUUGCAGUUAAAAAGCUCGUAGUUGGAUUUGUGGCGUACGGUGUGUUCCGGGCACUUGUUGUCUGAGUAACCUGCUGUUGCCAUCCUUGGGUGGAACCUGUGUGGCAUUAGGUUGUCGUGCAGGGGAUGCCCAUCAUUUACUGUGAAAAAAUUAGAGUGUUCAAAGCAGGCUUAUGCCGUUGAAUAUAUUAGCAUGGAAUAAUGAGAUAGGACUUUUUUGCUAUUUUGUUGGUUUGCGCAAAGAGGUAAUGAUUAAUAGGGACAGUUGGGGGUAUUCGUAUUCCACUGUCAGAGGUGAAAUUCUUGGAUUUUUGGAAGACGAACUACUGCGAAAGCAUUUACCAAGGAUGUUUUCAUUAA
RNAcentral lists this ribosomal RNA (380 nucleotides) under uncultured eukaryote. RNAcentral's name for it is "partial 18S ribosomal RNA". It matches the Rfam family "Eukaryotic small subunit ribosomal RNA", at positions 592 to 976 of the family's 1831-position model. The record is from RNAcentral.